This 30-nucleotide non-coding RNA is filed under the name Rattus norvegicus (Norway rat). The record is from RNAcentral. Lineage: Eukaryota; Metazoa; Chordata; Mammalia; Rodentia; Muridae.
UUUCAAUGGUAGCCAUAAAUGGUUCCUAAG